AAGAGAUGAGAUUGUGAAAUUGUGUCACAAGGCUAAAGGUAAUUUCUGCUUGGGAGACCUGGGCUCUGUCAUGGCCUCUGUGUGAUACCAGGAAAAUCAUGAAACUAAACAUUUCCCAUUGCUUUUUCCCAUAGAUUCUGGGUGUUUGACUUGCAAAAGUCAUUCCAGGUUGUAGAGCUGAGAAUUCAUAGCGGAAGCUUGGGCAAAUGGGAAUAUUGUUUGAGAUGCUGAAAGAGCUAACUACUCUGAAGAGGCAGGUACUGACAACCUCACCCGUCCUGUUGAAGCUCUGCCUCAGCUUCCCACUGUAAAAUGGGAAUAGUUCCACCCUCGCAUUCCUCCAGGAUGAUGUGGUGAUACUUUGUGAAGCAAUCUGUGGUGAGCACCACAGAGAAGCUCAUCAGGGAAUAGUUCUACAUUGAAAACAGAAUUUUUGAGAAAAUGAGACAGGAAGUCUUUACAAAGUCUUUCCUCUGAGCACCGUGACAGCUUCUCCCAAGCUCUCUUAUGCAAUACAGCUUGGUCUGCAGAUUCAAAGUAAUUUAUAUAUAUAGCAGAAGUGGCUGAAUAAAAAAAAUCAGACUCCAGUUUGAUUGAUGAAUUCUUACAGAAAGCUAACAUUUAAAUUUUUUUAAUCUGUUAAAGUACAUAGGCAGAGGAGAUGGAGUAUAUCGGUAUCACACCGACCUCACAUUUUAUACUAUUAUUUUUAUUCUGUGUAGUGAAAAAUACAUCUGGUUGUCAAAUUGCCAAAAGAAAAAAACCACCCCACAACACAACACUCAAGCCUGAUGCUUCA
Molecule: long non-coding RNA, 799 nt
Organism: Pezoporus flaviventris
Lineage: Eukaryota; Metazoa; Chordata; Aves; Psittaciformes; Psittacidae
Exons: 3
Source: RefSeq, a predicted model, not a curated record